UACGAAGGGGGCUAGCGUUGCUCGGAAUCACUGGGCGUAAAGCGCACGUAGGCGGACUCUUAAGUCAGGGGUGAAAUCCUGGAGCUCAACUCCAGAACUGCCUUUGAUACUGAGAGCCUUGAGUCCGGGAGAGGUGAGUGGAACUGCGAGUGUAGAGGUGAAAUUCGUAGAUAUUCGCAAGAACACCAGUGGCGAAGGCGGCUCACUGGCCCGGUACUGACGCUGAGACUCGAAAGCGUGGGGAGCAAACAGG
Molecule: ribosomal RNA, 253 nt
Filed under: uncultured bacterium
Lineage: Bacteria
Description: partial 16S ribosomal RNA
Rfam family: Bacterial small subunit ribosomal RNA
Source: RNAcentral